Molecule: ribosomal RNA, 919 nt
Filed under: uncultured bacterium
Lineage: Bacteria
Description: bacterial SSU rRNA
Rfam family: Bacterial small subunit ribosomal RNA
Source: RNAcentral
CCUUAGAGUUUGAUCCUGGCUCAGGACGAACGCUGGCGGCGUGCUUAACACAUGCAAGUCGAACGGGGUGUUUAUUUCGGUAAACAUCAAGUGGCGAACGGGUGAGUAACGCGUAAGCAAUCUACCUUCAAGAUGGGGACAACACUUCGAAAGGGGUGCUAAUACCGAAUGAAUGUAAGAGUAUCGCAUGAGACACUUACUAAAGGAGGCCUCUGAAAAUGCUUCCGCUUGAAGAUGAGCUUGCGUCUGAUUAGCUAGUUGGUGAGGGUAAAGGCCCACCAAGGCGACGAUCAGUAGCCGGUCUGAGAGGAUGAACGGCCACAUUGGGACUGAGACACGGCCCAGACUCCUACGGGAGGCAGCAGUGGGGAAUCUUCCGCAAUGGGCGAAAGCCUGACGGAGCAACGCCGCGUGAACGAUGAAGGUCUUAGGAUCGUAAAGUUCUGUUGUUAGGGACGAAGGGCAAGGGUUAUAAUACAGCCUUUGUUUGACGGUACCUAACGAGGAAGCCACGGCUAACUACGUGCCAGCAGCCGCGGUAAUACGUAGGCGGCAAGCGUUGUCCGGAAUUAUUGGGCGUAAAGGGAGCGCAGGCGGGAAACUAAGCGGAUCUUAAAAGUGCGGGGCUCAACCCCGUGAUGGGGUCCGAACUGGUUUUCUUGAGUGCAGGAGAGGAAAGCGGAAUUCCCAGUGUAGCGGUGAAAUGCGUAGAUAUUGGGAAGAACACCAGUGGCGAAGGCGGCUUUCUGGACUGUAACUGACGCUGAGGCUCGAAAGCUAGGGUAGCGAACGGGAUUAGAUACCCCGGUAGUCCUAGCCGUAAACGAUGGAUACUAGGUGUGGGAGGUAUCGACCCCUUCCGUGCCGGAGUUAACGCAAUAAGUAUCCCGCCUGGGGAGUACGGCCGCAAGGUUGAAAC